Molecule: ribosomal RNA, 500 nt
Filed under: uncultured bacterium
Lineage: Bacteria
Description: partial 16S ribosomal RNA
Rfam family: Bacterial small subunit ribosomal RNA
Source: RNAcentral
AUUGAACGCUGGCGGCAUGCCUUACACAUGCAAGUCGAACGGCAGCACGGGAGCAAUCCUGGUGGCGAGUGGCGAACGGGUGAGUAAUGUAUCGGAACGUGCCCAGUCGUGGGGGAUAACGCAGCGAAAGCUGUGCUAAUACCGCAUACGAUCUAUGGAUGAAAGCGGGGGAUCGCAAGACCUCGCGCGAUUGGAGCGGACGAUAUCAGAUUAGGUAGUUGGUGGGGUAAAGGCCCACCAAGCCUGCGAUCUGUAGCUGGUCUGAGAGGACGACCAGUCACACUGGAACUGAGACACGGUCCAGACUCCUACGGGAGGCAGCAGUGGGGAAUUUUGGAUAAUGGGCGCAAGCCUGAUCCAGCAAUGCCGCGCGCAGGAUGAAGGCCUUCGGGUUGUAAACUGCUUUUGUACGGAGCGAAACGGCUCUCACUAAUACUGGGGGCUAAUGACGGUACCGUAAGAAUAAGCACCGGCUAACUACGUGCCAGCCGCCGCGGUAA